AGUCCAUGAGUAGGACCUUCACUGUGUCCGUCAAAGAGGAGGGAGCGCUGGAUGUCGAACCCGAAGGUCUCUCAGACGGAGCCAUCGCUGGAAUCGUCAUCGCCAUCCUCGUGGCCUGGGAGCCGCCAUCGGCUUAAUCAUUUACUGCAGACAGAAAGUACCGGUCGAGUCUCCGUACUAAAAGAAGGAAGAAGUUCCUGUUUUUCUCUGCUGGAGACGACGCCUCAAACAUCCGACCAUUUUUGUUUCCCAUGAUCCUCUCUGUUCAACCAUGA
Molecule: long non-coding RNA, 275 nt
Organism: Scomber japonicus (chub mackerel)
Lineage: Eukaryota; Metazoa; Chordata; Actinopteri; Scombriformes; Scombridae
Exons: 4
Source: RefSeq, a predicted model, not a curated record